GACGAACGCUGGCGGCGUGCCUAAUACAUGCAAGUCGAGCGGACGGAUGGGAGCUUGCUCCCAGACCGUCAGCGGCGGACGGGUGAGUAACACGUGGGCAACCUGCCUGUAAGACUGGGAUAACUCCGGAAAACCGGGCUAAUUACGGAAUACCUAUUUCCUCCCCUUGAGGGAAGGCGAAAAGUGGGCAUUCCGCAAUCACUUCCGACGGGGCCGGCGGCGCAUUAGCUAGUUGGUGGGGUAAGGGCUCACCAAGGCGACGAUGCGUAGCGGACCUGAGAGGGUGAUCGGCCACACUGGGACUGAGACACGGCCCAGACUCCUACGGGAGGCAGCAGUAGGGAAUCUUCCACAAUGGGCGAAAGUCUGACGGAGCAACGCCGCGUGAGUGAUGAAGGUUUUCGGAUCGUAAAGCCCUGUUGUCAGGGAAGAAAAAGUACCGGUGUAACUGCCGGUAUCUUGACGGUACCUGAAGAGAAAGCAACGGCUAACUACGUG
This 498-nucleotide ribosomal RNA is filed under the name uncultured bacterium. RNAcentral describes it as "partial 16S ribosomal RNA". It matches the Rfam family "Bacterial small subunit ribosomal RNA", at positions 28 to 507 of the family's 1533-position model. The record is from RNAcentral.